Molecule: ribosomal RNA, 3067 nt
Filed under: Capsicum annuum var. glabriusculum (American bird pepper)
Lineage: Eukaryota; Viridiplantae; Streptophyta; Magnoliopsida; Solanales; Solanaceae
Description: bacterial LSU rRNA
Rfam family: Bacterial large subunit ribosomal RNA (bases 2109-3056)
Source: RNAcentral
CUGAUUGCCUAGGUUGUAGUGGUAAGAGUCGUUGCCGAUGGAGUUCCAGCUGCCAGAGUUUCGAUAAGAAAGAGGCGUCUGAGUAAACAGAAGUGAGAUCUUUCUAGUUCUUGAACUAGACUUCCCCAGCUUGAAGUCAAGUGAGGAACUCUUUCUCUUAUAUAGGCUAUUUUUCCUUGAAAUCCCAUUCUAUCCAUCUUAUUCUUCUGUGUAAGUAAAGACUAGCAGGGUAUUCUCUUGCAUCAAUUCCUCUCUCACUCACGAUGAAAGCUAAGAGUUUGCUCGAAGACAGCCUUUAAUUUUUAGUAGUAAUCUUUCCUAUCCUUUAGGCGGGGAUAAGUUCAUAGGAGAACUUGGUUACAUAGGAAGGAAAGGCUUAAACUAGAAGGGAUAAGAAAGGGAAUUACACUAUAUCUUGGUAAUGGCACUCCAAUAAGCUCGGCAGGGAGAGAAAGAAGAGAACGAGAAAAGGAAAUAUGAAUAAAAGGGUAUGAAAUAGGUUGCUUAUAGCGAUUGCGAUUGCGAUUACUUAUUUGGUUGGGAUUACCAACCUGACCAAAGAAUAAGAUAAAAAGAAGAGUUCCUGCCUACGGCUACAUGCCCAUUAAGAGCUAUACCAGGAGUCGAGCUAACUGCAUAGGCAGAGGGGAACUUUCCUAAAAAGCCUAAUAGCAAUUAACCGUAUUGGAAAUGACAAAUCACACUCUAAAAGGAGGUUCCCUCCCAAUAAAUGUCAAGAGGGAGCAAGGCGUGAUUGCUCUGUUGUCCCCCGACCGCCUCCCUUUCCACCUCUAAGUAGUGGUGUUGGUGUGUCUCGUUGCAAUCAUUCUGGUCAAUCCCUUUCCUAAACCAUAGGUAAGGGAUGACAGGAGAUGGCCCCUAUAGCAAAAUAAACCAACCCCUCAUUUGAGAGAGUAAAUAGAAUAGUGUCGGGCUUACGACAGUCUGACUUUUGAAUGACUAAGAAACUACUAAGCUCCCGCCCACCCCCAACCAAUUAGGGUAAAGUGUUUAUUCAUACCUUCAACAGCACCAAGAUAUUUUCCCAUGACCAUGUUUACUUUAUCUUCAAGAGCAAGCAUCCUAGCUCUCAGGGCCUCAGGCAUCCCUGGAUCCUUUCCUACUUCCUUAGUGAUUCCAAGAAGAUGCUUCAACCCCGUUAAGUUUUAGUUGACUAUCACGGCCCAAUAAAUAUUUCCAAUUCCAUUUUGGAAUAUUUUCAUUCGGCAAUGGAAUGACCUAUGUUGUUAGGGAGGACAGAAGGUAAACCGUCUUUCUUUGGUUGCCUCUCCCGUCUAGUUGAGUAGCUUUUGAUCCUUCCUACUUAAUUUAUUAUAAUAUAAUCUUAAGCUGCCACGUGGACUAUUAGGAGCUUUUUAGUCAUAGUGGGAGCUUUCGAAAAUCACUUAGCAGGUCAAGAUCAUAGGAAGAGGGAAGAACAAGGGAGAAGAUGUUAUUUAAAAGAAGACGAUUCCAAAAGAAAGUCAAAACGGGGAAUAGAGUGCCUUAAAGGUAAAUAAAAAAGAUCCUAAAUAAAAAAUAAAAUACCUAUUAAACCGAUUACAAGAAUACCAGUCACAGUACCUAUUAUCCAAAGAGGAAUCCUUCCAGUAGUAUUGGUCAUUUACCCCACUUUCCUCCAGAUUUCAUCAAGUGGUCAUGCUAGAGACAUAAAUAGCCUUGGAUAAUUGAAUUAUGAGAUCCUUCCAAACGAGCUAUGAGAAUCUUAUUUAUUCUCUAUCGUUUUGUUAAUUAAAGAAAUAAUUGGAAAAUAAAAAAGCAAGUACAAAAAUGAGUAAUAACCCCCAGUAGAGACUAGUACGAUGAUAUUCAACAUUUUGUUCAUUUGGGUUUGAUUGUGUCAUAGCUCUAUAGUUUGGAUGUUCUUUAUCAUUAGAUGAACUGCUGAUAUUGAUCCCCGAAAAAAGACGGCAGGUACAGCUAGGCCGUGAACAGCCAACCAUCGUACUGUAAAAAUUGGAUAGGUUCAAUCUAUAGUCAUUAGGGCCUCCUAAAAUGAUCUGCUAAAUUCAUUAAGUUUUUCUAAAGGAUCAAAUUGGACAGUUAUUAAUAGAAUUCCUUGUCGAAUAAGUUUCGACCUGCACGAAAAGCGUAACGAUCUGGGCACUAUCUUGGAGAGAGGCCCUAUGUUCCCUGGGAUUGGCUUUGGGCCUUUCCUGCACAGCUUAGGUGGAAGGCGAAGAAGACCUCCUUUUGGGAGGACCCAAGCCAUCAGUGAGAUACCACUCUGGAAGGGCUAGAAUUCUAACCUUGUGUCAGGACCUACGAUCCAAGGGACAGUCUCAGGUAGAUAGUUUCUAUAGGGCGUAGGCCUCCUAAAAGGUAACGGAGGCGUGCAAAGAUUUCCUCGGGCUGGACGGAGAUUGGCCCUCGAGUGCAAAGGCAAAAGGGAGCUUGACUGCAAAACCAACCCAUCGAGCAGGGAUGAAAGUUGGCCUUAUUGAUUCAACGGUGCCGAGUAAAAAGGUCAUUGCUCAACGGAGAAAAGUUACUCUAGGGAUAAUAGGUUAUCUUCCCCAAGAGCUCACAUCGACGGGAAGGUUUGGCACCUCGAUGUCGGCUCUUUCCCACCUGGGGCUGUCGUAUAUUCCAAGGGUUGGGUUGUUCGCCCAUUAAAGCGAUACGUGAGCUGGAUUUAGAAUAUCGUGAGAAGUUCGGCCCAUAUUUGAUGUGGGCGUUAGAGCAUAGAGAGGACCUUUCCCUAGUACGAGAGGACCGAGAAGGACACACCUCUGGUGUACCUGUUAUCGUGCCCACGGUAAAUACUGGGUCGCCAAGUGCGGAGCGGAUAACUGCUGAAAGCAUCUAAGUAGUAAGCCCACCCCAAGAUGAGUGCUCUCCUAUUCCGACUUUCCCAGAGUUUCUGGUAGCAUAGCCGAGACAGUGAUGGGUUCUCUACCCCUGCAGAGAUGGAGUGACAAAAGUUUUUUUGAGAAUUCAAGAGAAGGUCACAGUGAGAUAAGCCACUUAUCAUUACGAUAGGUGUCAAGUGGAAGUGCAGUGAUAUAUGCAGCUGAGGCAUCCUAACAGACCGGUAGACUUGAAC